This is a long non-coding RNA of Mytilus californianus (California mussel), 1674 nucleotides long. RefSeq lists it as uncharacterized. Lineage: Eukaryota; Metazoa; Mollusca; Bivalvia; Mytilida; Mytilidae. The record is from RefSeq and is a predicted model, not a curated record. The transcript is spliced from 2 exons.
UAAAUCAAUUGCAAUUGGCUUAACUCAAACGAUCGGCACGAUGUACAAAAACAACUUACAUAAAAAAAUAGACACAAAGCACUGGAAUAAGAGUACUCGUAUUACUGAAAGCUAGUUCAAAGUCAAUUACAACUAAUAAAUAAAUCAUGUACACACUUAUAAUCCUGGUUUCUUUAAUGACUUUUGUUUCUCUAUCAAUCAGAUCAUUGACUAGUUCUGAAGAUAAUACGCAAAAAGAAAACAUAAAAACUGAAAUACAACAAGGAAUUAUGAAUAGAUCGACUCGAACGGUAGACAAUGCGGAUUACUUUGAUACAACAAAGUAUCUACGUAAACAGCAAACCAAUGUCAAUCCAGAAUCUUCAAUAAAUAAUGACCAGAUAGGAUCGUACAUAAAUCCGGCAUUUAACAAAGACGAAAAUCAAGAAGUAGAUGCAGUUUUUUCUCCAUUUCGACCAUUAGACAAACUUCAAGAUGGUGGAGAAAGAAAUCAAAAUAGUGAUACACAGUCCGAAAACGGUUACAGAAAUGUCGGAAGUACCAAUCAAUCCGAAAUAUAGAAAGGAGACAUUAUUCAUUGAACAUCAAUAUUGAUCAGAUAUGUAAUUAUUUUUAUAUGUUAGUUUAUCAUAAAUAACCAGUGUAAAUGAGUUAUAAUAUUAUUAUGCUAAUCUGCAAUACAUGAAAUCAUUAAUAUAUUCUAAGUACUAAUCAGUACACUAACAUAUAUGGAAAGAGUGAAAUACGUAUCAUAGGUCAUUGAAGGACUGACAUGUAACACAAGCACGUAAAGAAAGAUAAGGUAAAAUGGCAAAUAAUAUAAUUCCAAAUACCACGCAUGAACAUUUAGAUGGAGUCACACCAGAUCCGACAGAUCAAGAAGAGAACUCAAUUAUAUGCGAAAAGAAUAGUUCCAACUUAGCACCAGUCGACUUGCAUGUGACUUACAAAUACCGGAAUUCUUUUUUUUUUUGGUGAAAGUUAUUUACUUAAAUAUGCAGACUGGAUUGUGUAAAUAUUUUACUAAAAAUCGUAAAAACAUAAGCUUAAAUUUAUCAUUCAAGUGUUUAAAAUAAAUUUAAUGUUGAAUGUAUAUAAGUUAUAGUUUUUAUAUUUUUGGGGUAUGAUUAUCAUAAAUGUAUUUAAUACCAUACUGCUUAAGUCAUUUUCUGUAUCCAAAAAAAUAAUUCUCAGAUAUAACUAAUUGCACAUGAAUUCGCAUUGCUUUGCUUUCCGAUGAGCACCAACUACUGAAAGAAUUAGUUUGAUGUACCACAAAAUUUACAAUCGAGAUAUUUAUUUCAAGUUCAGGGUUAAAUUUCAGAGUUGUAAAAGAUCACAGAAAAUAUGUCUUAAAACAGAAUCCAUCGAAAACCGAAACACAGAAAAAUUUACAAAAAUAAUCUUGUGACGUCCUUGAAAUAUAAUUCUAUUCUAGCCAACUAUACAAUAAAUGCAUUUUUCAAGUUUAAAGUUUAACCUUUUACAAGAUAAGCCUGUCAAAUAUAAUUGGCGUAUUUUUGUAGGACAUGUUGCAGUAUUGAUGAUGACUCACGUUUCAAAGCAUAUAACUUUUGUCAAAAGUUUGUAUAUUUACUUCCACAUGUUGUAUAUUUACCUAUAUACAUGUUCGAUGAAAUAUUUAACACGUUUAAUAAAAAAGUAACUACUUAU